GAUGAACGCCUGCGGCGUGCCUAAUACAUUCAAGUCGAGCGAACGGACGAGAAGCUUUCUUCUCUGAUGUUAGCGGCGGACGGGUGAGUAACACGUGGAUAACCUACCUAUAAGACUGGGAUAACUUCGGGAAACCGGAGCUAAUACCGGAUAAUAUUUUUAACCGCAUUGUUCAAAAGUGAAAGACGGUCUUGCUGUCACUUAUAGAUUGAUCCGCGCUGCAUUAGCUAGUUGGUAAGGUAACGGCUUACCAAGGCAACGAUGCAUAGCCGACCUGAGAGGGUGAUCGGCCACACUGGAACUGAGACACGGUCCAGACUCCUACGGGAGGCAGCAGUAGGGAAUCUUCCGCAAUGGGCGAAAGCCUGACGGAGCAACGCCGCGUGAGUGAUGAAGGUCUUCGGAUCGUAAAACUCUGUUAUUAGGGAAGAACAUAUGUGUAAGUAACUGUGCACAUCUUGACGGUACCUAAUCAGAAAGCCACGGCUAACUACGUG
This 497-nucleotide ribosomal RNA is filed under the name uncultured bacterium. RNAcentral's name for it is "partial 16S ribosomal RNA". It matches the Rfam family "Bacterial small subunit ribosomal RNA", at positions 28 to 507 of the family's 1533-position model. The record is from RNAcentral.